RNAcentral lists this transfer RNA (71 nucleotides) under Mus musculus (house mouse). RNAcentral describes it as "tRNA-Ser". The record is from RNAcentral. Lineage: Eukaryota; Metazoa; Chordata; Mammalia; Rodentia; Muridae.
GUGGGUGGCCCAGUGGUUAAGAGCGCUGACCACUCUUGCAGAGGUCCUGAGUUCAGUUCCCAGCACCCACA